GAAAAUUAUGUACUACAUCACUCUCGUUCUGGAAAAUCUUGCACUGUCAUCAGAUGAUAAUGAGGAUCUCAUCUACAGCUUGAAGGGAUGGGAUCUUGCAUUAAACCUCACAAGAAGUAAAAAUGAUCAUUGGGCAUUAUAUGCGAAGUCUGUGCUUGAUAGAACCCGCCUUGCACUUGCAAACAAGGCAGAAGCAUAUCAUCGCAUCCUGC
Molecule: unclassified non-coding RNA, 212 nt
Filed under: Hevea brasiliensis (rubber tree)
Lineage: Eukaryota; Viridiplantae; Streptophyta; Magnoliopsida; Malpighiales; Euphorbiaceae
Source: RNAcentral